This 240-nucleotide unclassified non-coding RNA is filed under the name soil metagenome. RNAcentral describes it as "partial contains 5.8S ribosomal RNA, internal transcribed spacer 2, and large subunit ribosomal RNA". The record is from RNAcentral.
AACACUGUUAACCUGCGGUACCUGCGGAGGGAUCAUUACCGAGUGAGGGCCCUCCGGGUCCAACCUCCCACCCGUGUUUAACGAACCUUGUUGCUUCGGCGGGCCCGCCUCACGGCCGCCGGGGGGCACCCCGCCCCCGGGCCCGCGCCCGCCGAAGACACCUGUGAACGCUGUCUGAAGUUGCAGUCUGAGACACUAGCUCAAUCAGUUAAAACUUUUAACAACGGAUCUCAGAUCGGA